UCGUUGGGUAGGGGAGCGUUCUGUAAGCCUGUGAAGGUGGCCUGUGAGGGUUGCUGGAGGUAUCAGAAGUGCGAAUGCUGACAUAAGUAACGAUAAAGCGGGUGAAAAGCCCGCUCGCCGGAAGACCAAGGGUUCCUGUCCAACGUUAAUCGGGGCAGGGUGAGUCGACCCCUAAGGCGAGGCCGAAAGGCGUAGUCGAUGGGAAACGGGUUAAUAUUCCCGUACUUGGUGUUACUGCGAAGGGGGGACGGAGAAGGCUAUGUUGGCCGGGCGACGGUUGUCCCGGUUUAAGCGUGUAGGUGUGUGUUCCAGGUAAAUCCGGUUCACUUUAACACUGAGGCGUGACGACGAGGCACUACGGUGCUGAAGCAACAAAUGCCCUGCUUCCAGGAAAAGCCUCUAAGCAUCAGGUAACAUCAAAUCGUACCCCAAACCGACACAGGUGGUCAGGUAGAGAAUACCAAGGCGCUUGAGAGAACUCGGGUGAAGGAACUAGGCAAAAUGGUGCCGUAACUUCGGGAGAAGGCACGCUGACACGUAGGUGAAGUGAUUUACUCAUGGAGCUGAAGUCAGUCGAAGAUACCAGCUGGCUGCAACUGUUUAUUAAAAACACAGCACUGUGCAAACACGAAAGUGGACGUAUACGGUGUGACGCCUGCCCGGUGCCGGAAGGUUAAUUGAUGGGGUCAGCGCAAGCGAAGCUCCUGAUCGAAGCCCCGGUAAACGGCGGCCGUAACUAUAACGGUCCUAAGGUAGCGAAAUUCCUUGUCGGGUAAGUUCCGACCUGCACGAAUGGCGUAAUGAUGGCCAGGCUGUCUCCACCCGAGACUCAGUGAAAUUGAACUCGCUGUGAAGAUGCAGUGUACCCGCGGCAAGACGGAAAGACCCCGUGAACCUUUACUAUAGCUUGACACUGAACAUUGAGCCUUGAUGUGUAGGAUAGGUGGGAGGCUUUGAAGUGUGGACGCCAGUCUGCAUGGAGCCGACCUUGAAAUACCACCCUUUAAUGUUUGAUGUUCUAACGUGGACCCGUAAUCCGGGUUGCGGACAGUGUCUGGUGGGUAGUUUGACUGGGGCGGUCUCCUCCUAAAGAGUAACGGAGGAGCACGAAGGUUGGCUAAUCCUGGUCGGACAUCAGGAGGUUAGUGCAAUGGCAUAAGCCAGCUUGACUGCGAGCGUGACGGCGCGAGCAGGUGCGAAAGCAGGUCAUAGUGAUCCGGUGGUUCUGAAUGGAAGGGCCAUCGCUCAACGGAUAAAAGGUACUCCGGGGAUAACAGGCUGAUACCGCCCAAGAGUUCAUAUCGACGGCGGUGUUUGGCACCUCGAUGUCGGCUCAUCACAUCCUGGGGCUGAAGUAGGUCCCAAGGGUAUGGCUGUUCGCCAUUUAAAGUGGUACGCGAGCUGGGUUUAGAACGUCGUGAGACAGUUCGGUCCCUAUCUGCCGUGGGCGCUGGAGAACUGAGGGGGGCUGCUCCUAGUACGAGAGGACCGGAGUGGACGCAUCACUGGUGUUCGGGUUGUCAUGCCAAUGGCACUGCCCGGUAGCUAAAUGCGGAAGAGAUAAGUGCUGAAAGCAUCUAAGCACGAAACUUGCCCCGAGAUGAGUUCU
Molecule: ribosomal RNA, 1609 nt
Filed under: Salmonella enterica subsp. enterica serovar Paratyphi B str. SARA62
Lineage: Bacteria; Pseudomonadati; Pseudomonadota; Gammaproteobacteria; Enterobacterales; Enterobacteriaceae
Description: bacterial LSU rRNA
Rfam family: Bacterial large subunit ribosomal RNA
Source: RNAcentral